ACUCACUUAACUUUCCCUGAGCUUCAUGAGCUCUGCCUUCCAGUUUAAGCCCUGGAAAUACAUAACGAAGCACAAAAGCCAGCUUUGCUUUAUGAGCUCCAUGGAAAAGACACACAAUAAAAUGGUCAUAUUUUAAUGUGAAAAAUGUUAAUGACAAGUAAAGCCAAGUGUGUCAAGGGGACAUAGUAAAGGGGCCUAAUGUGGCUUGGAGAGUCAGGGAGGGCUCGUGCUUUGUACAACGGCUUUGUAUCUAAACUCUCAUACAAAGGGUGAGAAGUUGGCCAGGCAAAGAUGGGGAAUUUGUGGAAGGGGUCAUGAAAGAUUUGAGGGCUGGAAGAAAUUUCACUCUGGCUAGGGCAUAGAGCGCGAACUAGGUUCUCAGACCCGAAGCCAGAGGAAUGAGUAGAAACUACAUCACGGGACCUUGGAAACCAACGUUAAGAAGCUGCCAAAGCACCUUGAGGAGAAAGACUUGAUUAGUAUUAUAUUGAAACAUGAAUUAUUUGGGAAAUGUCAAGGUGUCUGAAAAGUGGAAUGAGUUAAAAUUGAGGAAGGAAGCAUUCUAGAGGAGAAGACUGAAAACCAGAAAUGCUGAGUGAUACCUCAGAGGUCACAUAACUAGUUAGUAGCAGAGUUGGGGCCAUAUACCAGUGUUGUUGAUUCUGCAGAACCAACUGCUUUCUGUAUUAUUCCAACUCAUCCUUCUUUGUGUGGAUUGGAUGGAACUGACUGUUCAGCUCAUCAUAUGUGCCUCCUCCUCCAUUUUGGAGAGAUCAAGAAAAAGACUAAUCCUUCUAUAAUCUGACUGUGAUUAUCAAAUUUCCCUGUCUGCUAGGAGACAGUUGUUUCUGGCGCGUCUCUUUGGCUCCAGUAAAGACAAUACAAACCAUGGCCAGAACAGCUAAAAUGAAAACUCUCCCAUUUCUCAGAGUGAGAGAAAACAUCAUGGGACCACAGGGGCUGAAAAACCCAUUCUUUUACUCACGUGUUGGAGGCGCCCAUUGCUACUGCCACAAUGCCUGCAAGGCCUCCCACUACACCAGGAUUCCCUGUACAAUAGUGCCCCACUGGAGGCCCAAAGCAGCAACGAGUAGGUUGAUACCCACACUGCUGAAGCCAUAUUUCUUCAGGAAGGUCAUGAGGAAGCCAAACCCAACAAAUAUCAUAACAUGUACAUCUUGGAACACUGGAAAAGAGGAAAGGAAAAAAUAUCUGCAUUAUGAGAGCAUGAAGAAAGUACUGCAUCAUAGUAUACCCCACUUAUUAAGUGCUACCACCUUUGUAUAACACACUAGGAAAAGAGAGCAUUUAACUGGGAAGCAAAAGUCUUGUUCCAAUGCCAGCUUGACUACUUACUAACCAAGAGACUUUGGCAAGUUAUUCAGUGUUGGAGCUUUUUAUUGGGAAGACUAUGCACUAUUACAACAGUGUGUCUUUCAUCCUGUCCCUGAGAAAUUCUACAUUGUUUUCCACCUGAGGACAGACUUACAAAGCACAGAGCAAGCAUCACCCCUUCUUGAAGACUUUCCCAAUACUCUCAGGAAACAGAAUUAUUUUCUGUUUUCAUUUACAUAGCUUUGUGUAUAUACUUUAGCUUUAUCAUUGUCAUGCUAUAAUAGCAUUUAUUUAGCAUUUGUCACACUGUAAUAGUCAAUAAGGUGUCCAUCUCCUGCACUAGAUUGUGAACUUCUUGAUUGAAGGGGUUUGGAACCAUUCAUACCUGGCUCUCUUUAACUUGGCAUAAUAGCUUGCAUAUCAGAGAAGAAGUAGUACGUUUCUUUGAUGGAUGAGUCUCCAUUUAUCAAAUAUGUAUAAUAGCACCAGCCACGAAAAUCUUACCAGAUCAUUAUUUGGGUCAAAUGGGAUAAUUUCUUUGUUAGCACUUUAUGAACCAUGAAGCAUUAAUAAACAUAAAGGCUGUAUCCUCUUGAGUAACAAAUAUUCAACUUGGUGUCUGGGGAUAUGGGCUCAGGUACCUGAGUUCAAUCACAUGACUGUGUGACCCUGGGCAAGUCACUUACUCUCUAUGAGCUUCAGUGUUUUCAUCUGCAACAUUGUAAAGGCCCUAUUUCACAGAAUAAUCCAAGUGGGAUCACCUGUGUAGGAGGAUUUGCAUACGGUAAAGUAUUAUGCCAAUAAAACAUAUGAUCAAAUGCAAGAUAGUGAAAACAUGAGCUCUUCCUUCAAGAAACUGACAGUUAAGUUGGUAAGACAUAUAUAUGGAUAAACCAUAUAUGAGAUUGACAUUUUUGCAUUGGAAAUAGUCCUUCGAUCUGAAGGAAGGAUCUGGGCAGUACACAUAACAGCAUCCACUACAGUGGACAAACCUGAAUGGGGCACCAUAGUUUCUCUCUCUCUCUUUUUUUGGGGGGGGAGACAGAGCGAGACUCUGUCUCCCAGGAUGGAGUGCAGUGGCAUGAACUCGGCUCACUGCAACCUCCGCCUCCCAAGUUCAAGCAAUUCUCCUGCCUCAGCCUCCCAAGUAGCUGGGAUUACGGGCGCAUGCCACCAUGCCCAGAUAAUCUUUGUAUUUUUGUAGAGAUGAGAUUUCACCAUGUUGGCCAGGCUGGUCUCAAACUCCUGACCUCAGGUGAUCUGCCCACCUCGGCCUCCCAAAUUGCUGGGAUUACAGGUGUGACCCACCAUGCCCGGCCCCAUAGUCUCUUUUAAAUUAAACAUCACCAUUGUGGCCAGAGGUUUAAGUGGAAAUAGGUAUGAGGGAGGAUGUGCCUGGAAAAUAUGUCCCAGAAGAAACCAACAUUAAAAGUCCAUUAAUUUGCCCAAAGGAUGAAGUCAGGAUUUGAACUCCAACCUGACUUUCCUGAUUUCUCCAUUCAUUGAGCACUGUAGGGGUAUAAAAUAACCGAAGCAGAGCUCUGGCUUCCGAGGCACACAGAGACGUUACUGCUUCUUGGCUCCUCUCUACUUCUGUUCUGCCAUCAGGCUCAGGGGCUAGUGUGUUGAGGGUAAGAGACUGUGGUACACUACUCAGGCUUGUCUACUGCAGUGGAUGCUGAGAUGCGCUGCCCAGAUGCCCCCUUCAGAUCAAAAGACUUAUUCCUCUCAUUUUCCCUGGCGGUCAGGAGUGCCGCCAGAUGAAACCCUAAGCUCUCAAUUCUCUCUGGAAAAUGCUCUUCUUUUGCUCAAGAUCAUAGCUCUUCCUUCGGGUAGUCUGGACACAAUAACUGAUUCACAUGAGCAACCGCUUGUCUCAGAAAAGGACCACCUAAAACUGGAUAAUCCUAGCUUCAGAGCCUCCUGAAGGGUCAGCUGAGGCCUUCUCCUUCUCUGCCCAAAUUCUUUCCCUCAGGUGUUGAUCCUUAAGGUGUUGAUUCCCAUCCCAUACCUACCCAGGGUACCCUAGAACUGAGAUUUUACCUGACUCGCUGAUGGGCAUUUGUCAAUUAAUAUCAACCUGUUUCCCUUUUUGCUUUUUGAAGUAGAGAUAAUCACAUAUAUUCAUUUUUCUUUACACAUUGAUUUGUCACCCACCAUUUAAUUUUUGUAUGUAAAAAUUUGAUCUAGAUCAUAGAAUAAAUUGGACAGGAACUUAGGGGAUAUGCAUGAUUCUUAGUAUGGUUUUAGUAAACCUUUAUGGGACUCAGUUAUCUUUUAAGGAAUACUUGGAUUACAUGAUGUCUAAAGUGUCUUAGCUCUACAAUUUAUUUUAUUUUGCAUUUAGGUCAGGACACUGAGACACAG
Molecule: long non-coding RNA, 3702 nt
Filed under: Homo sapiens (human)
Lineage: Eukaryota; Metazoa; Chordata; Mammalia; Primates; Hominidae
Description: HSALNT0334529
Source: RNAcentral